AGAGUUUGAUCAUGGCUCAGGAUGAACGCUAGCUACAGGCUUAACACAUGCAAGUCGAGGGGAAACGACAUCGAAAGCUUGCUUUUGAUGGGCGUCGACCGGCGCACGGGUGAGUAACGCGUAUCCAACCUGCCCACCACUUGGGGAUAACCUUGCGAAAGUAAGACUAAUACCCAAUGAUAUCUCUAGAAGACAUCUGAAAGAGAUUAAAGAUUUAUCGGUGAUGGAUGGGGGAUGCGUCUGAUUAGCUUGUUGGCGGGGUAACGGCCCACCAAGGCAACGAUCGGUAGGGGUUCUGAGAGGAAGGUCCCCCACAUUGGAACUGAGACACGGUACAAACUCCUACGGGAGGCAGCA
Molecule: ribosomal RNA, 357 nt
Filed under: uncultured bacterium
Lineage: Bacteria
Description: bacterial SSU rRNA
Rfam family: Bacterial small subunit ribosomal RNA
Source: RNAcentral